RNAcentral lists this ribosomal RNA (447 nucleotides) under uncultured organism. RNAcentral's name for it is "partial 16S ribosomal RNA". It matches the Rfam family "Bacterial small subunit ribosomal RNA", at positions 332 to 796 of the family's 1533-position model. The record is from RNAcentral.
UACACUCCUGCGGGAGGCAGCAGUGGGGAAUAUUGGACAAUGGGCGCAAGCCUGAUCCAGCCAUGCCGCGUGAGUGAUGAAGGCCCUAGGGUUGUAAAGCUCUUUCACCGGUGAAGAUAAUGACGGUAACCGGAGAAGAAGCCCCGGCUAACUUCGUGCCAGCAGCCGCGGUAAUACGAAGGGGGCUAGCGUUGUUCGGAUUUACUGGGCGUAAAGCGCACGUAGGCGGACUAUUAAGUCAGGGGUGAAAUCCCGGGGCUCAACCCCGGAACUGCCUUUGAUACUGGUAGUCUUGAGUUCGAGAGAGGUGAGUGGAAUUCCGAGUGUAGAGGUGAAAUUCGUAGAUAUUCGGAGGAACACCAGUGGCGAAGGCGGCUCACUGGCUCGAUACUGACGCUGAGGUGCGAAAGCGUGGGGAGCAAACAGGAUUAGAAACCCGAGUAGUCC